Prionailurus viverrinus (fishing cat) is the source of this 317-nucleotide long non-coding RNA. RefSeq lists it as uncharacterized. The record is from RefSeq and is a predicted model, not a curated record. Lineage: Eukaryota; Metazoa; Chordata; Mammalia; Carnivora; Felidae. The transcript has 3 exons.
GCUCGAAGUCACGGACCGCGAGAUCGUGACCUGAGCCGAAGUCGGACGCUCAACCGACUGAGCCACCCAGGCGCCCCUGGAUUGUCCUCUUUUAAACCUUACUACAACCCUAUGAGGAAGUCCCGGAGCAUUCCUGGCCUCAGGAUGGAUUGAUUCAGUGGUUCGACGGUGGCCUAAGGACCCAGGAGAUUUCUGUCUCUGACUCUACACGUUGGAUCCGGUCCAAGGGCUCCUCCGACGAGCACGAGCACGGCUCAGCACUGGGGAAGCGUGAAGGACACGUCUCAGCUUUGAAAAAAAUACAGCUGACUGCUUGA